RNAcentral lists this ribosomal RNA (216 nucleotides) under Glomeromycotina sp. RNAcentral's name for it is "partial small subunit ribosomal RNA". The stretch from base 75 to 216 matches the Rfam family "Eukaryotic small subunit ribosomal RNA", at positions 721 to 864 of the family's 1831-position model. Lineage: Eukaryota; Fungi; Glomeromycota. The record is from RNAcentral.
GGGUCAGUAGGUUGGUCGUGCCACCGGUACGUACUGGUCUCACUGAUCCCUCCUUCCUGAAGAACCGUAAUGCCAUUAAUUUGGUGUUGCGGGGAAACAGGACUGUUACUUUGAAAAAAUUAGAGUGUUUAAAGCACGCUAACGCUUGAAUACAUUAGCAUGGAAUAAUGAAAUAGGACGAUCGAUCCUAUUUUGUUGGUUUCUAGGAUUGACGUA